Long non-coding RNA from Vespa velutina, 1879 nucleotides. RefSeq lists it as uncharacterized. Lineage: Eukaryota; Metazoa; Arthropoda; Insecta; Hymenoptera; Vespidae. The transcript has 4 exons. The record is from RefSeq and is a predicted model, not a curated record.
ACCGUGCCAGUAUACCGCGUGAUUGCAAUGGCUUUUUAUACACGUUCGUUGAGGCUACGUCGAAGCGGCGUAUCGUUGAAACACUCUGACGGUGGUUGAAAAAGAGGGAGGUGCUGCUGAAGACAUUGACGAUGGGUGGGGGAAGUUGGUCGCUAUGUUUUCUCUCCCCCCCCCCCCUCUCUCUCUCUCUCUCUCCGUAUACUUGGUUACAAUCAUCUCUACGGUUACAACUUUUUUUACAACAACGAGCAGCUGUGCAUAUACAGCAACGACAACGGCAACGAGCGACCGCUGCAUAGACAACGAAGGAAGGAGACAACGGCCGGCACCACAUUACUCGGAGCUUGCCUUCGGACCUAGCGAGAUCUGCGUAAAUACGGGCGAGUAAUUACGUUGCUGGAGGGAAAUUACCAGUUACCGGCUCGCCGUUGAGUUUUAUCCAAUUAGGGGAUUGCUUUGGCCACCCUGCAGAAUGUUCUCUCUCCCUAUUUCGGUCGCCUACUCUCGCUCUUUCAACUUCGUUUCAGUCUCUUUCGCUCUUUCCAGUCGGCUGCUAGUCGAAGCGAACAAAUUCCCUCGACGAGCGCCGUUUUCACUACUCGCGCGUCUUUUUUCAUUCUCUAUUUUUUUCCUUUACAUUCUCUUUUUCUCCCUUUUCUCUUUCGCUUUCCUACUCCCAUCAUGAUUCUCUUACUAUCAAAGUAGUACUACUUAGUCGACUUACUCGCGUAAGUUACCACUCGGUCAACGAUGGGAGCCAGGCCGAGCCGGUAUUUUAGAAAAGCGAAGCCAUUCUCGUCUCUAUAAAUAAAAGGGCUUUCGCGCUCGCAUCGCUCGUCACAUCGAUCGGACGCGAGGAGAUUCUGCGAUGGAAUCAAAGUGCUUUGUGAGUCUUGCGAGUGUUAAAUAUAGAAAAAAAAAAAAAAGAAAAAAAAAAAAGAAAAAAGAAAAAAAGAAGAAAAUAAAAUAAAGGAAAAAAAGCGAAGCGUACGCACGACACGACACGUAAACGCAAAGAUGUUUGAGGUCUAAUAAAGAGGAGUCGUCAAUGUCAUGGAGAAAAUGUUCGAACGAACAUUCGAAGGGAUAGGAAAGAGUUAACGACAGGAAGCAAACGAAAAUCGCUUCUCUUAUCUUAAAGCUGUAAUCUGUAAGCUGGCGUCAGCGGAUUAGCCGAGCCUGUAGUUUCCACGAAAUCCAAAGUUUUGAUCCCGAUGAGAGACGAGACGAAUGCUUAAACGUGCAGCGUAUAGCUGGAUGUAGAACACGUUCGUACAUAAACACAUGUAUGGAGAGAAGGGUGCCAGUAGUGAAGUACGGUGAAUGACCAGACAGUCGAAGGCUCGAUCAACCGCGUUGCCGGAUAUUACUGAUACCGAAGAGUAUUCGAUUUCAACGUAACUGGGGGAAGUUUCAUCCGAUUAAAUGGCACGCAACAACUUGAUGAAUCUUCUCUGAACAGGCAGAAUCGAAAGAUGUUGUUAAAUCUGAGAUGGACGUCUUUCGUGAUAAGAAAGAGGACGAUUUGCCGGUGGUCCAAAAAAAUGGGAGGGGACAUGCUGGCUGCAAGAUAGAUAGACGGAUAUAUAGACGGAGAGGGAGAGAGACAAAGAGGGGAGGAUUUGGAGUUCUGCCACAUCGGGAGCACCCUCCUGCCUCGAGAGCUCUACUGUGAUCACCGAUACCACACUACGGAACGUUCGCGGUUGGUACUCGUAGGGUUUGGAGGAGCCCGAAGAGAGGCACGACCCUCGAGAAGGAAACAGGUGGAACGAGACGAGACCGUGCUUCGAAGAAAAGCGUAAAUAUUGAUAAUUCCAGCCAACUAUACUUCUUCCUGUCGUCUAUACAGUAUGCUAAUAUAUUAUCAUAUCGAUUA